CAAUAGCGUAUAUUAAAGUUGUUGCGGUUAAAAAGCUCGUAGUUGGAUUUCUGCCGAGGACGACCGGUCCGCCCUCUGGGUGUGUAUCUGGUUUGGCCUGGGCAUCUUCUUGGAGAACGUAGCUGCACUUGACUGUGUGGUGCGGUGUCCAGGACUUUUACUUUGAGGAAAUUAGAGUGUUUCAAGCAGGCACACGCCUUGAAUACAUUAGCAUGGAAUAAUAAGAUAGGACCUCGGUUCUAUUUUGUUGGUUUCUAGAGCUGAGGUAAUGAUUAAUAGGGAUAGUUGGGGGCAUUCGUAUUUAACUGUCAGAGGUGAAAUUCUUGGAUUUACGCAAGACAAACAGCUGCGAAAGCGUCUGCCAAGGAUGUUUNCAUUAA
RNAcentral lists this ribosomal RNA (380 nucleotides) under uncultured eukaryote. Its description in RNAcentral is "partial 18S ribosomal RNA". It matches the Rfam family "Eukaryotic small subunit ribosomal RNA", at positions 592 to 976 of the family's 1831-position model. The record is from RNAcentral.